Molecule: ribosomal RNA, 253 nt
Filed under: uncultured bacterium
Lineage: Bacteria
Description: partial 16S ribosomal RNA
Rfam family: Bacterial small subunit ribosomal RNA
Source: RNAcentral
UACGUAGGUGGCAAGCGUUAUCCGGAUUUAUUGGGCGUAAAGAGAACGCAGGCGGUCUUUUAAGUCUGAUGUGAAGGCCUUCGGCUUAACCGGAGUAGUGCAUUGGAAACUGGGAGACUUGAGUGCAGAAGAGGAGAGUGGAACUCCAUGUGUAGCGGUGAAAUGCGUAGAUAUAUGGAAGAACACCAGUGGCGAAAGCGGCUCUCUGGUCUGUAACUGACGCUGAGGUUCGAAAGCGUGGGUAGCAAACAGG